RNAcentral lists this ribosomal RNA (788 nucleotides) under uncultured bacterium. Its description in RNAcentral is "bacterial SSU rRNA". It matches the Rfam family "Bacterial small subunit ribosomal RNA", at positions 119 to 893 of the family's 1533-position model. The record is from RNAcentral.
GGAUAAUCUGCCUUCUGGUGGGGGACAACAGCUGGAAACGGCUGCUAAAACCGCAUGUCAUUAUCGGCACUCCGGUGCUGAUAAAAAAAGACGCUUCGGCGUCGCCAGAAGAUGGGUCCGCCCCCCAUUAGCUAGUUGGUGAGAUCAUAGCUCACCAAGGCUUAGAUGGGUAGCCGAGCUGAGAGGUUGAUCGGCCACACUGGAACUGAGACACGGUCCAGACACCUACGGGUGGCAGCAGUAGGGAAUAUUGCGCAAUGGGCGAAAGCCUGACGCAGCCAUGCCGCGUGAGUGACGAAGGCCUUCGGGUCGUAAAGCUCUUUUCUGAGGGAAGAACAUCCAAGGGAGGUAAUGCCCUUGGCCUGACGGUACCUCAGGAAUAAGGAACGGCUAACUCCGUGCCAGCAGCCGCGGUAAUACGGGGGUUCCUAGCGUUGUUCGGAUUUACUGGGCGUAAAGGGAGCGCAGGCGGAUUGGUCAGUCUAAAGUGGAAUCCCGGGGCUCAACCUCGGAAGUGCUUUGGAUACUACCAGUCUUGAGUUCGUGAGAGGAAAGCGGAAUUCAGGGUGUAGCGGUGAAAUGCUUAGAUAUCCUGAGGAACACCAAUGGCGAAAGCAGCUUUCUGGCACGUCACUGACGCUGAGGCUCGAAAGCGUGGGUAGCGAACGGGAUUAGAUACCCCGGUAGUCCACGCCGUAAACGUUGUGCACUAGGUGCAGGGGGUAUCGACCCCCUCUGUGCCGUAGCUAACGCAUUAAGUGCCCCGCCUGGGGAGUACGGUCGCAAGA